This 482-nucleotide ribosomal RNA is filed under the name uncultured bacterium. RNAcentral's name for it is "partial 16S ribosomal RNA". It matches the Rfam family "Bacterial small subunit ribosomal RNA", at positions 28 to 523 of the family's 1533-position model. The record is from RNAcentral.
GACGAACGCUGGCGGCGUGCUUAACACAUGCAAGUCGAACGAUGAAGAAGAGCUUGCUCCUCGGAUUAGUGGCGAACGGGUGAGUAACACGUGACUAACCUGCCCCUUUCUCUGGGAUAACGCUCCGAAAGGAGUGCUAAUACCGGAUACUCACAUCGAGGCACAUGCCUUGAUGUGGAAAGUUUUUCGGAAAGGGAUGGAGUCGCGGCCUAUCAGCUUGUUGGUGAGGUAACGGCUCACCAAGGCGACGACGGGUAGCCGGCCUGAGAGGGCGACCGGCCACACUGGGACUGAGACACGGCCCAGACUCCUACGGGAGGCAGCAGUGGGGAAUAUUGCACCAUGGGCGAAAGCCUGAUGCAGCGACGCCGCGUGAGGGAUGAAGGUCUUCGGAUUGUAAACCUCUUUCAGUAGGGACGAAGCGAAAGUGACGGUACCUAAAGAAGAAGCACCGGCUAACUACGUGCCAGCCGCCGCGGUAA